UCUAUUGCUCUUCUCUCUAUUAUUAGUUGGUUUAUGCAUUGACUUAGGGCUUUUAGGCUUUAAUUUCUUGGAUCGAAUAUUUCAAGUGGGAUUUAUCAUUGGACGAUGGUUUUCCCUGUUCUUGUUUAACUUAAAUUAUCGUGUUCGAAUUUAGUGUUUGUUCCUUUCAAUUUCAAUCUUAGCUUUCUCCUUCACAGCCUUCCCAUCCCUCGUAGUUCUACCCAUAUAAUUGUUUCCUGCUCGAUCUUAAUCCUCCUUUUAUUCCACUGCAAUUGUAAUUAGAGCAAUAAAAUCAUCAGAUAGGAACCAUAAUUAGGGCAAUUAAAUCAUCAGAAAGGAAGAGAUAGCAGGUGCGCUAUCAAAGUUUCGAGUAUUAUCAGACGUUUCUGUGCAUAGAUGGCGCUGCAAGAAAAAUUAGAUAGAUUCAAGAAGCAACAAGAGAAGUGCCAGUCGACCCUCACCAGCAUUGCAGCCAAAGCAGGGCCUUCUAAAUCUGCUUCAAUUCAAAAACGUACACCUGUAGCUGCAUCACCAUUAACAAAUCCUAGGACUCCAGGUCCACCUGUCAAAUUUUCAAAUGACACAGAGAGACUACAACACAUCAACAGUAUUCGGAAAGGCCCUGUUGGAGCUCAGAUCAAGCGUGUUAUAGACCUGCUGCUAGAGACAAGGCAAGCUUUUACACCCGAACAAAUAAAUGAAGCAUGUUAUGUUGAUGUGAACUCCAACAAAGCUGUAUUUGACAGUUUGAGGAACAACCCAAAAGUGAACUAUGAUGGGAAGCGCUUCUCUUACAAGUCCAAGCAUGAUUUGAAGGACAAGAAUCAGCUACUUGUCUUGAUACGGAAAUUUCCUGAGGGCAUUGCUGUCAUUGAUCUCAAGGAUGCAUACCCAACUGUGAUGGAGGAUUUGCAGGCUUUGAAAGCUGCUGGCCAGAUAUGGUUGCUAUCAAACUUUGAUUCACAGGAGGAUAUUGCAUACCCAAAUGACCCCAGGGCAGUUAU
Molecule: unclassified non-coding RNA, 1004 nt
Filed under: Hevea brasiliensis (rubber tree)
Lineage: Eukaryota; Viridiplantae; Streptophyta; Magnoliopsida; Malpighiales; Euphorbiaceae
Source: RNAcentral